GAUGAAGAACGCAGUGAAAUGCGAUAAGUAAUGUGAAUUGCAGAAUUCAGUGAAUCAUCGAAUCUUUGAACGCACAUUGCGCCCUUUGGUAUUCCUUAGGGCAUGCCUGUUCGAGCGUCAUUUAAACCUUCAAGCUAAGCUUGGUGUUGGGUGACUGUCCGCUUCACGGCGGACUCGCCUCAAAAUUAUUGGCGGCCGGUACAUUGGCUUCGAGCGCAGCAGAAACGCGAACUCGGGCCCGUCGUAUUGGCUCCCAGAAGCUAUCUUCACAAUUUUGACCUCGGAUCAGGUAGGGAUACCCGCUGAACUUAAGCAUAUCAAUAAGCGGAGGA
RNAcentral lists this unclassified non-coding RNA (332 nucleotides) under soil metagenome. Its description in RNAcentral is "partial contains 5.8S ribosomal RNA, internal transcribed spacer 2, and large subunit ribosomal RNA". The stretch from base 1 to 120 matches the Rfam family "5.8S ribosomal RNA", at positions 35 to 154 of the family's 154-position model. The record is from RNAcentral.